This 503-nucleotide ribosomal RNA is filed under the name uncultured bacterium. RNAcentral's name for it is "partial 16S ribosomal RNA". It matches the Rfam family "Bacterial small subunit ribosomal RNA", at positions 29 to 523 of the family's 1533-position model. The record is from RNAcentral.
AACGAACGCUGGCGGCACGUUUUAAGCAUGCAAGUCGAAUGGCAGUGGGGGCAACCCCAUGAGAAUGGCGAACGGGUGAGUAACACGUAGGUGAUCUGCCUGACGGAUGGGGAUAGCUUGUGGAAACACAGGGUAAUACCGAAUGAGCUGACGAGACUUUGGUUUUGUUAGUAAAGGUGCUACGGCACCGCCGACAGAGGAGCCUGCGGCUGAUUAGCUAGUUGGUGGGGUAAAGGCCUACAAAGGCGACGAUCAGUAGCCGGCCUGAGAGGGUGGACGGCCAUACUGGAACUGAGACACGGUACAGACGCCUACGGGAGGCAGCAGCUAAGAAUCUGCCGCAAUGGGCGAAAGCCUGAAGGAGGGAGGCCGCGUGAUCGAUGAAGGUCGAGAGAUUGUAAAGAUCUUUUCUACAUGAGGAAGAAGUCUGGGAGGGAAUGCCUGGAUGAUGACGUUAGUGUAGGAAUAAGCCCCGGCUAAUUACGCGCCAGCCGCCGCCGUAA